Molecule: small RNA, 591 nt
Filed under: Pan troglodytes (chimpanzee)
Lineage: Eukaryota; Metazoa; Chordata; Mammalia; Primates; Hominidae
Description: processed transcript
Source: RNAcentral
GUGGCCGGCCCGCCCCUCCCCGGGCAUUGGCGGCUGCUCGCUGCCUCGCUGCUCGCUCCGAGCCUAGAGCCGGCAGCUCGGGAGGUCGGCCCGCCCCCUCAAAGGCUCCGGGCGGGCCCGGGACCUGGAGGGCCCGAGCUAGCGGGGGCGAGCGGUCCGGAGGUCCGGUUUCGGCGGCUGCAUGUUGUGCCUGGGUCAGUCCACCUUCCUUCGCUUUAACCACCCGGCUGAAGCCAAGUGGAUGAAAAGCAUGAUUCCAGCAGGGGGCCGAGCCCCUGGGCCCCCCUAUAGCCCUGUUCCUGCAGAAUCAGAAAGUCUGGUAAAUGGGAACCACACCCCACAGACUGCAACACGGGGACCCUCUGCCUGUGCCAGCCACAGUUCCCUGGUGAGCUCUAUUGAGAAGGACCUGCAAGAGAUCAUGGACUCACUGGUGCUAGAGGAGCCUGGAGCUGCUGGCAAGAAGCCUGCCGCAACCUCUCCACUGUCGCCGAUGGCUAAUGGUGGGCGCUACCUGCUGUCUCCCCCAACCAGCCCCGGCGCCAUGUCUGUGGGCUCCAGCUAUGAGAACACCUCUCCAGCCUUCUCUCC